This 468-nucleotide ribosomal RNA is filed under the name uncultured bacterium. Its description in RNAcentral is "partial 16S ribosomal RNA". It matches the Rfam family "Bacterial small subunit ribosomal RNA", at positions 28 to 507 of the family's 1533-position model. The record is from RNAcentral.
GACGAACGCUGGCGGCGUGCUUAACACAUGCAAGUCGAACGGAAAGGCCCUGCUUUUGUUGGGUGCUCGAGUGGCGAACGGGUGAGUAACACGUGAGUAACCUGCCCUUGACUUUGGGAUAACUUCAGGAAACUGGGGCUAAUACCGGAUAGGAGCUCCUGCUGCAUGGUGGGGGUUGGAAAGUUUCGGCGGUUGGGGAUGGACUCGCGGCUUAUCAGCUUGUUGGUGGGGUAGUGGCUUACCAAGGCUUUGACGGGUAGCCGGCCUGAGAGGGUGACCGGCCACAUUGGGACUGAGAUACGGCCCAGACUCCUACGGGAGGCAGCAGUGGGGAAUAUUGCGCAAUGGGCGGAAGCCUGAUGCAGCAACGCCGCGUGCGGGAUGACGGCCUUCGGGUUGUAAACCGCUUUCGCCUGUGACGAAGCGUGAGUGACGGUAAUGGGUAAAGAAGCACCGGCUAACUACGUG